This 794-nucleotide ribosomal RNA is filed under the name Shigella flexneri. Its description in RNAcentral is "bacterial LSU rRNA". It matches the Rfam family "Bacterial large subunit ribosomal RNA", at positions 2149 to 2925 of the family's 2925-position model. Lineage: Bacteria; Pseudomonadati; Pseudomonadota; Gammaproteobacteria; Enterobacterales; Enterobacteriaceae. The record is from RNAcentral.
GGGAGGCUUUGAAGUGUGGACGCCAGUCUGCAUGGAGCCGACCUUGAAAUACCACCCUUUAAUGUUUGAUGUUCUAACGUGGACCCGUGAUCCGGGUUGCGGACAGUGUCUGGUGGGUAGUUUGACUGGGGCGGUCUCCUCCUAAAGAGUAACGGAGGAGCACGAAGGUUGGCUAAUCCUGGUCGGACAUCAGGAGGUUAGUGCAAUGGCAUAAGCCAGCUUGACUGCGAGCGUGACGGCGCGAGCAGGUGCGAAAGCAGGUCAUAGUGAUCCGGUGGUUCUGAAUGGAAGGGCCAUCGCUCAACGGAUAAAAGGUACUCCGGGGAUAACAGGCUGAUACCGCCCAAGAGUUCAUAUCGACGGCGGUGUUUGGCACCUCGAUGUCGGCUCAUCACAUCCUGGGGCUGAAGUAGGUCCCAAGGGUAUGGCUGUUCGCCAUUUAAAGUGGUACGCGAGCUGGGUUUAGAACGUCGUGAGACAGUUCGGUCCCUAUCUGCCGUGGGCGCUGGAGAACUGAGGGGGGCUGCUCCUAGUACGAGAGGACCGGAGUGGACGCAUCACUGGUGUUCGGGUUGUCAUGCCAAUGGCACUGCCCGGUAGCUAAAUGCGGAAGAGAUAAGUGCUGAAAGCAUCUAAGCACGAAACUUGCCCCGAGAUGAGUUCUCCCUGACCCUUUAAGGGUCCUGAAGGAACGUUGAAGACGACGACGUUGAUAGGCCGGGUGUGUAAGCGCAGCGAUGCGUUGAGCUAACCGGUACUAAUGAACCGUGAGGCUUAACCUUACAACGCCGAAG